UCUUCUUUCUUCUUUUCUCUUCUUCCUCUCCGUUCUUCACCUGCUAGUGAAUUGGGUAAUUGAAAUAGAGAAAGAGAGAUUUUGAGAUCGGGAGAGGUAGGGUCUGAUUAAGUAGUGAUUGUUUCUCGUGGUGUUCAAUUUAGUUGAUCAUGAGAAGUAGUGAUGAUGAUUUAUAGAGAAAACAGAAAGUUAGGGUUUCAGUUUGGAUUUAAGAUAUGGAAGAAUUCAUUAACUAAAGGAGGAUUUGGGUGGUUGGUGAUGAAGAACAAAAGGGUUGAGUUUUAAUUGAAGUUCUGAAGUUGUUUUGGAGAUGAAUUAAAGAGUUAGGGUUUCUGUUCUUUCCGAACAUAAAAUUAUGGUUCGUAAUCAACUAGGAGUCCGUUUAAUAAGGAAUAAGAAGAAAAUUAAAGGAUGGGUUCGAUGUAAUUGAAGUUUUUGAUCGUUGUUUUGGGUUCAAUUCAGAGAAGUCUUGAUUUGAGCAUGAAAUUAGGAUUUACUAAGAACUGAUGCUGGUAAUGAAGCUUGUUGAGGUGGCUAGUUGAACUAUGUGAAGAAGAGGAAAUGAUUUCAGUGGCUUGAACAAGUUAAAUCAAGUUAGUCUUUAUUAACAAUGAUCGAUUCAAAGGAUGAACGAGUGGAUUGACAAUCUUGAGGUAGGCGAGGCUUGUCUUCAGAACAGUUUUUCAGUUACCAGAAGAUAUGGUGCAUGCGAAGAUAUUCGUUUCCGUCUCUUAAAGAUUUUAGUGUUGCUUCGAUUAUUUUAGGUUUUGUACAUUAUUUUUGUAAUCACCAACAGACUAUUUAAUUUAUAUAACUUGAGAGAUUUUUCAUUUAUAAUUGUUUCGAGUGAUUGGUUUAGUUUUGGGUUAAAUUUUGUAUAAGAUUUUCUAUUUGGAAGUUAAGAUAUAUGAUUGAGAUAUUUAAUUCCUCAUUAGGUAGUUAAUCGCUUGGAUUAAUAAGUAGCUAAAUUUUGGGGCGCUACAGAUUCACUUGGAGGGAGAUUGUCAAAAUGUGAUAGCUGCAGUUAAUGGAAGUUCCACGUCAAUAAAAUGGACAACUUCUA
This is a long non-coding RNA of Papaver somniferum (opium poppy), 1063 nucleotides long. RefSeq lists it as uncharacterized. The record is from RefSeq and is a predicted model, not a curated record. The transcript has 3 exons. Lineage: Eukaryota; Viridiplantae; Streptophyta; Magnoliopsida; Ranunculales; Papaveraceae.